RNAcentral lists this ribosomal RNA (406 nucleotides) under uncultured bacterium. RNAcentral describes it as "partial 16S ribosomal RNA". It matches the Rfam family "Bacterial small subunit ribosomal RNA", at positions 30 to 526 of the family's 1533-position model. The record is from RNAcentral.
AUUGAACGCUGGCGGCAGGCCUAACACAUGCAAGUCGAACGAGUGGCGGACGGGUGAGUAAUGUCUGGGAACCUGCCUGAUGGAUGGGGAUAACUACUGGAAAAGGUAGCUAAUACCGCAUACCAUCAGAUGUGCCCAGAUGGGAGUAGCUUGUUGGGGGGGUAACGGCUCACCAGGGCGACGAUCCCUAGCUGGUCUGAGAGGAUGACCAGCCAAACUGGAACUGAGACACGGUCCAGACUCCUACGGGAGGCAGAAGUGGGGAAUAUUGGACAAUGGGCGCAAGCCGGAUGCAGCCAUGCCGCGUGUAUGAAGAAGGCCUUCGGGUUGUAAAGUACUUUCAGCGGGGAGGCGUUACCCGCAGAAGAAGCACAGGCUAACUACGUGCGAGCCGCCGCGGUAAUUC